RNAcentral lists this long non-coding RNA (1550 nucleotides) under Oncorhynchus mykiss (rainbow trout). RNAcentral's name for it is "lncRNA (ENSOMYG00000063056.1)". The record is from RNAcentral. Lineage: Eukaryota; Metazoa; Chordata; Actinopteri; Salmoniformes; Salmonidae.
AUGGUCCAGAUGUCGCUGACAAAGGAGGAGUACAGCUGGUUUUCCGACUUCCUCAAAUUCAAGCACUGUCUCUUAGGGGGAAAGAAGGCCCAGCACUUCUUUUUCAAUUCAACAAACACUCAGAUGAAGAACCUGCCUGCCUACCUGAGGGAGGUGUGGAAGGAGAUGGGUCUGCCCGAAUGUCCUUCAUUCACUGACAUGAGGACCUCCAUUGUCACUCAUGUAAAAAACAUGCUCCCAAAGGUUGACAGGGAAAGGGUGGCCAACUUCAUGUGCCACAACAUCCAGACGGCAGACAAAUAUUAUGCCAUGAAUUUAAAUCCAACCCAAGCAAAUGAAACCAGGGCACUCUUUGAGGCUGCACUGAAGGGGGAAGAUAACACAGUCGCCGCAGAGAACCAGCCCUCCACCUCAGGAGAAAGAAAGCAGAAGGUGAGAGAGGAUGCCUCCCUCUCCGACGGGAGCACCACCCCUGAAGAGACCAAGGUGAUGUACCAGGAGUCUGGCACGUCCGCCGGUGACUCGGAAGAGGAGGAAGAGGAUGAAGAUGAGGAACAGAUGGCCAGACAACUUCCAGUAAGAUCAGCUAUUCUGACAGGACACAUUUGAUUAUCAAAAUGUACUUGUAAACUAUGUAACAGUCAAGUGUGAAUUCUGAGAUAUAUCUAAUUUCUUGUGUUUGCUCUGUCAGGAGACACCUUCCAAGGUGACCAAUCCUCAGGUGGAGAUGGAACUUACCCCAAAGAGGAAGCGGAGCAUCUGCACACGCCGCAUGGAGGUCGCCAUCAGCCCCAUGCUAGUCUCACCGCUCAAAGUGAGGCUCAAGUCGCCCCCCCACCAGUCCCUCAUUGUCACAUUAAAAGGGAUGCAACAACUAAACUCAAAUAAAGUAAGACUAAAAAAUGCCAUUGCCUCAUGGAGGUUAAAGCUGCAGGAGAAGGUGCAAAAGAGAGGAGGGGACCCCUGAUGCAGCUCGAAGGAAGGGGAGCCGACCAACAACAAGACUUCCUCUUCCAAAUAGUCAUGUAGAUUGUUUUAGACUCUCACAUUUAUACUGUUCUGAUUUUGUUUGGUUUGAUUUUCAAUUUUGGUGUGCUUGUUUACAUUUUAGAAGUGUAAAAUGUGUGUAAUUUAGUCUAACUGUCUGUUCAAUUUUCUAUUUUGGUGUGAUUCUUUAUAAUGUAAAGGUUUGUUCUGUUUUAUUAAAUAACUAGUUUAGUAAUUAUUUGUGUUGUGCUUUCUUUAAGGUUAUAUUCUAACUGUCUGUUCAAUUUUCUAUUUUGGUGUGAUUCUUUAUAAUGUAAAGGUUUGUUCUGUUUUAUUAAAUAACUAGUUGAGUAAUUCUUUGUGUUGUGCUUUCUUUAAGGUUUAUAUUUAGUUUGUCACUUAAUUUGUAAGUGUUAAACAUUCACUGUCUUGUGUUGUUGUCUGUGAAGGUAGGAACAAAUAUUUAGGCAUUAUUGGCAUGGGAAUCAUAUGUUUACAUUGGCAAAGCAAAUUAAGUAGAUAAUAAACAAAAGUGAAAUAAACAAUAAAGUCCUGCUGUAGAC